This is a long non-coding RNA of Triplophysa rosa, 2778 nucleotides long. RefSeq lists it as uncharacterized. Lineage: Eukaryota; Metazoa; Chordata; Actinopteri; Cypriniformes; Nemacheilidae. The transcript has 3 exons. The record is from RefSeq and is a predicted model, not a curated record.
GGUGUCAUCUGCAAACUUCAGGAGUUUGACAGAAGGGUCUGUAGAGGUGCAUUCGUUUGUGUAGAGUGAAUAUAGCAGUGGAGAAAGAACACAUCCUUGAGGAGCUCCGGUGCUGAUGGUACAUGUGCUGGAUUUAAAUUUUCCCAACCUCACUAGCUGCUGCCUGUUCGACAGGAAGUUAAUAAUCCACUGACAGGUAGAGGUUGGCACAGAGAGCUGGGUAAGCUUGGGCAGGAGGAGGUCUGGGAUUAUGGUGUUGAAGGCCGAGCUGAAGUCUACAAACAGGAUCCUGACGUAAGUCCCUGGUCUGUCUAGGUGUUGUAGGAUGUAAUGCAGUCCCAUGUUUACUGCAUCGUCCACAGACCUGUUUGCUCGGUAAGCAAACUGGAGGGGAUCAAGAAGUGGUCUGGUGAUGUCCUUCAGGUGGGCCAGUACAAGUCUCUCAAAUGACUUCAUGACCACAGAUGUUAAAGCAACAGGCCUGUAGUCAUUAAGUCCAGAUAUUUUGGGUUUCUUCUGUACAGGGAUGAUGGUGGAGCGUUUGAAGCAUGAAGGGACUUCACACUGCUCCAAAGAUCUGUUAAAAAUAUUAGUGAAGAUGGGCGACAGCUGCUCCGCACAGACUUUCAGGCAGGAGGGUGAGACAUUGUCUGGGCCUGGUGCUUUUCUGAUCUUUUGUUUGCGGAAAAGCUGGCAAACAUCCUCUUCGCAGAUCUUAAGUGCAGGUUGAAUGUCAAGAGGAGGUGUUAAUGGUAUAGCAGAGAUAGGGUCAGGGCGGGUGUGAAGGGUGAGACUCUGCAUUUCAAAACGACAAUAGAAGUCGUUCAGGUCGUCAGCCAGUCGUUGAUUACCCAUAGACUGAGGGGAUGAUGGCUUGUAGUUGGUAAUGUCUUUCAGGCCUUUCCACACCGAUGCAGGGUCGUUGGUUGAAAACUGGUUCUUCAGCUUUUCAGAGUAGCUUCUCUUAGCUGCUCUUAUCUCCUUUGUCAGUGUGUUUUUGGCCUGAUUAUACAAGACUUUGUCCCCACUUCUGUAAGCAUCUUCUUUGGCCUGACGAAGCUGUCUCAGUUUCAUUGUAAACCAUGGUUUGUCAUUGUUGUAUGUUAAGCGAGUCCUGGUGGGAAUACACAUGUCCUCACAGAAGCUGAUGUAGGAUGUCACUGUGUCAGUUAACUCAUCCAGAUCAGUGGCUGCAGCUUCAAAGACACUCCAAUCCGUGCAGUCGAAACAGGCUUGUAAGGCCCGCUCUGUUUCGCUGCUCCAUCUCUUUGCUGUUCUUGCUACAGGCUUGGCAGAUUUAAGCUUCUGUCUGUAGGUCGGAAGAAGAUGAACCAGGCAAUGAUCAGAGAGACCCAGAGCUGCUCUGGGAACAGAGUGGUAUGCAUCCCGUAUUGUGGUGUAACAGUGAUCCAGAAUGUUGCUGUCUCUGGUGGGGCAUGUGAUAUGCUGCCUGUAUUUUGGCAGCUCACGGGAGAGGUUUGCUCUGUUAAAGUCCCCAAUAAUUAAACCAAGAAGCCUUGGUUUAAGCCCCAGCUGAUGAGUAGAAGUAGGAGGAGCCUGCCUGCCACCAAGAAGGUGGAGCAUCACCAGUAAGAGGUUGGAGCAGGAGCCUGCCUGACAAGAUGAGGUCAGUGUUUCAAGCUGUGGGGUGGUGGGGUUGUUUGUAACUGUGGGCCCUGUAUGUAGCCUGGCGUGUUUGAAUGUUCCAACUUUUCUUAUGUGUUGCAGAUGUAUGAAGAAAAAGAGUACAUUUCCCGAGAGAACUGACAUUGGUGUGCAGGCCUCAGUGGAUAAAGAGCACCAAGAGGAGGAGGAGGAGCCUGAGACCAGGGAGGUGGAGCAACACCAGUGAGAGGAGGGCAAAAUAUUGGGAUCUGGCACAUAACCCCCCUGUUCACACGCUCUGGAAUCUCGGGGAGAGACACGCUCCGGUGUUUCCCCCCUUCUGUGGGUACCCAUUUAUGGACGCUUGGGUCACCACCCUGCGUGUUACGGUCAACAUGUGCUGGUCAGCCACCUGGCCUUGAACACUGAACCUCUCGAUUCAGUGUCAGUGCUCAUACCUCCUGAGCCACUUGGUCCUGCACAUUUUAUGACAAUUCUCCUGGCGUAUUCAUCUUUUGUUUGUUUUAGAUACGAAGGAAAAAUGCACAAGCAAGCAAAGUCUAACCUGGUCUUGAACCCUGAACCACCAGGUCCAGCAUCAGUGCUCAUACCCCCUGAGCCACUUGGGCCUGUACACUUGUGAUAUUUCUCCUGGCGUGUUCAUCUUUCGUUUUAUGUUUUAGAUACGUAGGAAAAAUGCAAAUGCAUGCAGAGUCUUACCUGGUCUUGAACCCUGAACUACCUGGUCCACUGUCAGUGCUCUUACCACUGAGCCCUGCACACUUGUGACAGUUUUACUGGCGUGUUCAUCUUUUGUUAUACAUUUUAGAUACGUAGGGAAAAUGCAGAAGCAUGCAUACCUUAGCAACCAGAACCUCGUAACCAAGCAUUAUACCUCCUCUCUUUUUGCAUACAAGCCUGGUCCGCAUAAGAUAUGUUAGAUAGCGCUCAUAAUUCAUUGUGCUGGGUUCAAACCCUGGCCUGUUCAGUUCAGAUACAGUGCCAUUACCCUCUGAGCCACUGGAGCUGACAUAGUAUAGGCCUGGUAAAUUUAUUUUUCAUACAGAUCUGGACACACAGAAUGAAUUACAGCCCUCAAAGCUCAGCAAGUUGGGUUUGAACUCUAAACCACUAGAUCCAGGACUCUGAUGUUUCUGAUGAGUUUUGUCACCA